This 261-nucleotide long non-coding RNA is filed under the name Salvia miltiorrhiza (redroot sage). Its description in RNAcentral is "long non-coding RNA (SMIL_LNC001714)". Lineage: Eukaryota; Viridiplantae; Streptophyta; Magnoliopsida; Lamiales; Lamiaceae. The record is from RNAcentral.
GUUGUGUCAACCCGAUUCAAAUUGGGUUGUUAUCAGGUCGUAAUCAGAUCGUGUCGUUAUCGUGUCGCUAUCGGGUCGUGUCAACCCGAUUCAUAUCGGGUUGUUAUCGGGUUCGGGUUGGGUUCGGGUUUAGGUGUAUCAGGUUGGGUUCGGGUUGGGUUUUAGCAUUCCCUUAUCAGGUCGGGUUCGGGUUUGGCCUUAUCAGGUCGGGUUGAUAUCAGGUCGACCCGAUAGCGAUCCGACCCGCACGAUUUGCCAGCC